RNAcentral lists this ribosomal RNA (433 nucleotides) under uncultured bacterium. RNAcentral's name for it is "partial 16S ribosomal RNA". It matches the Rfam family "Bacterial small subunit ribosomal RNA", at positions 29 to 507 of the family's 1533-position model. The record is from RNAcentral.
AACGAACGCUGGCGGCAUGCCUAACACAUGCAAGUCGAACGAGACCUUCGGGUCUAGUGGCGCACGGGUGCGUAACGCGUGGGAACCUGCCUUUAGGUUCGGAAUAACUCAGAGAAAUUUGAGCUAAUACCGGAUGACGUCUUCGGACCAAAGAUUUAUCGCCUUUAGAUGGGCCCGCGUUGGAUUAGCUAGUUGGUGGGGUAAAGGCCUACCAAGGCGACGAUCCAUAGCUGGUCUGAGAGGAUGAUCAGCCACACUGGGACUGAGACACGGCCCAGACUCGUACGGGAGGCAGCAGUGGGGAAUAUUGGACAAUGGGCGAAAGCCUGAUCCAGCAAUGCCGCGUGAGUGAUGAAGGCCUUAGGGUUGUAAAGCUCUUUUACCCGAGAUGAUAAUGACAGUAUCGGGAGAAUAAGCUCCGGCUAACUCCGUG